GGGGGGAUAUUGCACAAUGGGCGAAAGCCUGAUGCAGCGACGCCGCGUGGGGGAUGAAGGCCUUCGGGUUGUAAACUUCUUUUGCUCUGAACAAGGCAUGCUUUUGGGGUGUGUUGAGUGCAGGGGUUGAUUAGCGCCGGCUAACUACGUGCCAGCAGCCGCGGUAAUACGUAGGGCGCGAGCGUUGUCCGGAAUUAUUGGGCGUAAAGGGCUUGUAGGUGGCUGGUUGCGUCUGUCGUGAAAGCUCAUGGCUUAACUGUGGGUUUGCGGUGGGUACGGGCUGGCUUGAGUGCAGUAGGGGAGACUGGAAUUCCUGGUGUAGCGGUGAAAUGCGCAGAUAUCAGGAGGAAUACCGGUGGCGAAGGCGGGUCUCUGGGCUGUUACUGACGCUGAGGAGCGAAAGCGUGGGGAGCGAACAGG
RNAcentral lists this ribosomal RNA (420 nucleotides) under Fusobacteriota bacterium. RNAcentral describes it as "Fusobacteria bacterium partial 16S ribosomal RNA". It matches the Rfam family "Bacterial small subunit ribosomal RNA", at positions 355 to 776 of the family's 1533-position model. Lineage: Bacteria; Fusobacteriati; Fusobacteriota. The record is from RNAcentral.